UAUACAAAAAGCAACUGGAGACAUCUUUUACAUUCAACCGACGCUCUCUGACGUUUCGCUGUCCUUACACCGUUUCAAAUACACAAUAGCCAACAUCUUCAUUCUCGCACCAUCGACGGUUUCGCAACCGCCAUCCACAACUUCACCACCGCCAUUUUCACGCUCACAUUCUUCUCCAUUCUUUUUAAUUCAAAUGCUUCCUUCGAUUUUAUUCACCAAAUCCUUCAAUCCCCAAAUCCCUUUCAGUGACUUAAUUUUCCUUCGGCUAAUUCCGUUUAUUCAAGAAAGGCGUGAAGUGGUUUUAUCAAAUCGAUUCGUUUUAGUUGUGAACACAUGGGUGACGGUGGAUAAGAGAUGUAAGCCGGUAAAUGGGGUGAGGAUGCUGAAUUUUCUUAGGGCUAGGCAACCGACAUCUGGGAAUGAAGUGCAGGAACUUCGGGGGUUGUCCGAUAUUCUGAGUGGGUUUGCAUGGGGUUCGGAAGAUUCUCAUGAGUGUUUUAUGGUGCAUAGCUUUCGAAGCAUGAUUCAAAGUGCAACCUUUCAAAAUUUUGUGACCGGGUUUGAGUGGAAUAAAUGCACGCCUCUGAAGGUAAACUCUUUUUUUCUUGGAGACUUUGUCUUGACCACCUUCCCACUUUGGUAAAUUUGGCCAAAAGAAAUGUGCAGCUUCAUUCCACCAGAUGCAAGUUUUGUGGAGAUAUAGAUGAGACCGCUAAACAUUUAUUCAUCUCCUGCAAUAUGGCGCAAGGGAAUUGGGAUUUUAUAGCGAGUUGGUGUAGGCUUCAUGCACUCUAUCCUUGGGGUACAAGAUUUAAUCAAUAUGCAUAAGCAUUUUAGGGGGUCAAAGAGAUGGAAGGCUGCUGUGUAUAUGGUUGUACAGAUGACAGUUUAGUGCAUAUGGCGAAGUCGGAACAACAUGGUUUUUAUUCGGAAGCCUUCGAGCAUAAAUGAGGAGAUGAAGUUCCUUAGUUACCUCUGGUGCAAAAGUAAGUCUAAAUUUUUAAGUCUUACUUGGGAAAAAUUGGUGUAGUUUCAAUCUAUUAUGUAUGGGAGUGUAAAAUAACUUGGCUGUA
Long non-coding RNA from Helianthus annuus (common sunflower), 1073 nucleotides. RefSeq lists it as uncharacterized. Lineage: Eukaryota; Viridiplantae; Streptophyta; Magnoliopsida; Asterales; Asteraceae. The transcript has 2 exons. The record is from RefSeq and is a predicted model, not a curated record.